AAAUAGAACUUUGCAGAGAGAGUUAACAGGGCGUGAAACCGUUAAUUGGCAAACGAAUCGGAGCCACGAAGUCGUUUCGCUGUUGGCUUGAGUUCAGGUGCGGUCCUCGGGCCUCAUCGUAUUCUCGAGGCUAACGUUGUAAACGUACACUGCAACCAGUUGGACGAUUGAGGAUGGGCAUCGUUUCUAAAUGGGUUAGAAAUAGCUUGGUACGCCUCGUGUGUGUAUCUGGGUUAUUGGGCCCAUUUAGGUGAACUAUUCUCAACUACUGACUGGCAGAAUAGAAUUCAUCCUCUUGGAUGUGAUACAAAAUGCAGCAGUCAACAUUGUUAAUCACAUGCUUGGCCAUUGAGUCUAAGCUCAGUAGUCUUGAAUUUGGACUUUCUUGCUACCAGUGGGCCCACUCUUGGUGCUUGUUUAGCCUCCAUCUAAUCGGCUACUGACUUGGCUUGGUGUUUAGUCCAAGUAUGCUACCGUUGGUUAAUAAUGUUAGAUUGUUUGCAAUUUGAUUGGCAGUGAGUAGGUCGGCUUUCCGAACGACCCGUCUUGAAACACGGACCAAGGAGUCUAAUUAGGCAUCAAGUCGAUCGGUCUUGAUUAGGCCAGAGAGAAGGCGUAGAGACAUGUGAUUCCUUCCACUAACCAGGUGGUUGACGCAACAUGUGCCUGCUCGUAUAGCAAUGUAGCAAUAAUGCUGGCGGAGUAAAGAGAUGCCUGAUUGGUACCCGAAAGAUGGUGAUGCUUGGGCAAAUUGAAGCCAGAGGAAACUCUGGUGGAGGAUUGUAGCGAUUCUGACGUGCAAAUCGAUCGUCAGACCUGAGUAUAGGGGCGAAAGACUAAUCGAACCAUC
RNAcentral lists this ribosomal RNA (850 nucleotides) under Catarhinus sp. GD136. Its description in RNAcentral is "partial large subunit ribosomal RNA". It matches the Rfam family "Eukaryotic large subunit ribosomal RNA", at positions 366 to 944 of the family's 3401-position model. Lineage: Eukaryota; Metazoa; Arthropoda; Arachnida; Trombidiformes; Diptilomiopidae. The record is from RNAcentral.